AGGGAUGUACCCGUGGGAGGAGGACCACAAACCAACAGCGUCACAUAUGCAACUGUGAGAAUUGUUCCACGGCCGAUGCCUCCAGCGGAUGCUGGUAUCAUCUAUGCCAAUCUCGCCUUAGGAAACAGGAAUGAGCAGGACGGUGAAGCCAGUGAUGGAGAUGGUCCUGUCUACGCCACAGUCAGAGUUUAGUGUGGAGGCCAAUGACCACGACUUGCUUUAUUUCCUCGCUCUAUCAGCUCACCAUCCACUAUAUUCAAUUUCACCUUCAUUCUGACAUCAACGGGGCUCUUACAUCACAUCUCACGCUAACCCACAUAGAGACUGAGUUACAGACUGAGGAAUAAGGAGCGAGGGAGUGAAUGCGUAAGAGUGAGAGAGUUUGUGAGAGAGAAAGAUAAAGGGAGACCGAAUGAGAGACA
Long non-coding RNA from Callorhinchus milii (elephant shark), 422 nucleotides. RefSeq lists it as uncharacterized. Lineage: Eukaryota; Metazoa; Chordata; Chondrichthyes; Chimaeriformes; Callorhinchidae. The record is from RefSeq and is a predicted model, not a curated record. The transcript is spliced from 3 exons.